Molecule: long non-coding RNA, 232 nt
Filed under: Spirodela polyrhiza (greater duckweed)
Lineage: Eukaryota; Viridiplantae; Streptophyta; Magnoliopsida; Alismatales; Araceae
Description: long non-coding RNA (SPOL_LNC001413)
Source: RNAcentral
GGGGUUCUCAUUAUUAGAUUGUUCUUCAUCUUGUUCUUUGUUAACAAAGAUUUGGAGUUCACAAUUGUAGCAGUGGUUAGGAGAAUAUAUCUCACUACAGAAAAAACACAGCCCCUGCGCAUUCUUGAAUUUUGGAAGCGGUGAGCUGCAUGUGAUAAACCUGUCUAAUAUGUUUGUCUUGGGGCCUGAGGUCGAGUGGUAAACGAUUAGUUAUUGAUAAAAUUGCGGUGGG